UUGAAAUCAAAAUUCUGAAUUGGAAGUUUUCGUUGCUGGGAAACGAGUUCCAAAAUUUUAAACCUUGGUUUUGGAAAAUUGUUAAGUCUUACAAUCUGAAGUUGGUUCGAAUCGCCGGACGACCGAACCGCCGCCGGAGGCUGAUGACACAGAGACAACGGCAGGUGAUUCGGGGCUCGCCGGUGUGCAGCGCCCGACCACCUGCCGGCAGCUGCGUCGUGGCUUCAAGCCGACACGCCGCUGCAUCUGUGGUAGCCCGCCAUCUCGGGCUUGGAGUCCGACGGUGAAAGGCGACGGCGAGGUGGCGAGACGGGUUGGCGCGCACCGGCGCGCGACGGGAAGACGAUUGCCGGUGGAGUUCUCGCGAGGCGGAGCUGCUCUGCCGAGGCGAGAACUCCUCUGCUUCCUUCUGUAAAGACGUCUCUCCUCGACGCUAGCUUGGACGCCAACGCAUCGGCGACCGGUGUGAAACCGUCCGGCGAGACCGUGGGAUGUCGUCGGCGUCGUGGCUUCGAGCAGCGGCGGCGUGACUCCGGGGCUUCGGGCAGGCUGACGGGAUUUGGAGGGAGGCGGCUGCUGCUGCACUUCUUUUUCCAAA
RNAcentral lists this long non-coding RNA (598 nucleotides) under Salvia miltiorrhiza (redroot sage). RNAcentral describes it as "long non-coding RNA (SMIL_LNC013483)". Lineage: Eukaryota; Viridiplantae; Streptophyta; Magnoliopsida; Lamiales; Lamiaceae. The record is from RNAcentral.